This 253-nucleotide ribosomal RNA is filed under the name uncultured bacterium. RNAcentral's name for it is "partial 16S ribosomal RNA". It matches the Rfam family "Bacterial small subunit ribosomal RNA", at positions 524 to 776 of the family's 1533-position model. The record is from RNAcentral.
UACAGAGGUCCCGAGCGUUGUUCGGAUUUAUUGGGCGUAAAGGGUGCGUAGGCGGCGGAGUAAGUUGGGUGUGAAAUCCCGGGGCUCAACCUCGGAAUGGCAUUCAAUACUGCUUCGCUAGAGUACUGGAGAGGAGGCUGGAAUUUACGGUGUAGCAGUGAAAUGCGUAGAUAUCGAGAGGAACACCGGUGGCGAAGGCGGCCUUCUGGACAGUGACUGACGCUGAGACGCGAAAGCGUGGGGAGCAAACAGG